UGCAGGGGUAGCAAAGCUUGGUCAAAUGCGCAGGACUCAGAAUCCUGUCGGUUAGCCGUUCGAGGGUUCAAAUCCCUUCCCCUGCAUCC
Molecule: transfer RNA, 89 nt
Filed under: Candidatus Anstonella stagnisolia
Lineage: Archaea; Nanobdellati; Microcaldota; Candidatus Micrarchaeia; Candidatus Anstonellales; Candidatus Anstonellaceae
Description: tRNA-Ser(cag)
Rfam family: tRNA
About the family: Transfer RNA (tRNA) molecules are approximately 80 nucleotides in length. Their secondary structure includes four short double-helical elements and three loops (D, anti-codon, and T loops).
Source: RNAcentral